RNAcentral lists this ribosomal RNA (468 nucleotides) under uncultured bacterium. RNAcentral describes it as "partial 16S ribosomal RNA". It matches the Rfam family "Bacterial small subunit ribosomal RNA", at positions 28 to 507 of the family's 1533-position model. The record is from RNAcentral.
GACGAACGCUGGCGGCGUGCUUAACACAUGCAAGUCGAACGGAAAGGCCCUGCUCUUGUUGGGUUCUCGAUUGGCGAACGGGUGAGUAACACGUGAGUAACCUGCACUUGACUUUGUGAUAACUUCAGGAAACUGGGGCUAAUACCGGAGAGGAUCUCCUGCUCCAUGGGGGGGGUUGGAAAGUGUCGGCGGUUGGGGAUGGACUCGCGGCUUAUCAGCUUGUUGGUGGGGUAGUGGCUUACCAAGGCUUUGACGGGUAGCCGGCAUGAGAGGGUGACCGGCCACAUUGCGACUGAGAUAGGGAGCAGACUCCUACGGGAGGCAGCAGUGGGGAGUAUUGCACAAUGGGCGGAAGCCUGAUGCAGCAACGCCGCGUGCGGGAUGACGGCCUUCGGGUUGUGAACCGCUUUCGCAUGUGACGAAGCGUGCGUGACGGUAAUGGGUAAAGAAGCACCGGCUAACUACGUG